AAUUUCAUAUCUAAAAUUUGUGCAAAAACAAGAGUCAAAUUAAUUAGUGUUAGCCAACAUUGUUACAGUGCUAAGUUAAGCGAACACAUAUAUGAUGAUAUGUCUUUAAAAGAUAUGUAGACUCGAACCUGUAAGUUAUAGCUUUUAAAUAAGUAUCUAAUACCGAUUUAUCCGACAACCUUCUCCGGGUUAUACACAAUAAAACAAAUUUAUAAAUCUUAAAUAUCUGGUAUCAAUUAUCAGUUCUUAUUUACGGACCAAAUUUCACGCUAAAAUGAAAAUCUACUAUUGAUAAAUUCGUGGAAAAGAUCAAAUCAGAAGUUAAGAACAAUGACAAGACUCAUUUAGAUUCACUGCUUUAUGUAUUUUGUUAGCUAUGUCUUUUGAAAUCGAAAUGGAAGAAGAGUCUAUUGAGAAGAUGUAUCAAAUGAUGGCGGAAAUUUUAAUUGUUGUUGAUCCUACAUCAAAAUCCUAGAAUUUG
This 481-nucleotide small RNA is filed under the name Arabidopsis thaliana (thale cress). RNAcentral describes it as "ATSL285140". Lineage: Eukaryota; Viridiplantae; Streptophyta; Magnoliopsida; Brassicales; Brassicaceae. The record is from RNAcentral.